RNAcentral lists this ribosomal RNA (496 nucleotides) under uncultured bacterium. RNAcentral's name for it is "partial 16S ribosomal RNA". It matches the Rfam family "Bacterial small subunit ribosomal RNA", at positions 28 to 507 of the family's 1533-position model. The record is from RNAcentral.
GAUGAACGCUGGCGGCGUGCCUAAUACAUGCAAGUCGAGCGAACAGACGAGGAGCUUGCUCCUCUGACGUUAGCGGCGGACGGGUGAGUAACACGUGGAUAACCUACCUAUAAGACUGGGAUAACUUCGGGAAACCGGAGCUAAUACCGGAUAACAUGUUGAACCGCAUGGUUCAACAGUGAAAGACGGUCUUGCUGUCACUUAUAGAUGGAUCCGCACCGCAUUGUUAGUUGGUAAGGUAACGGCUUACCAAGGCAACGAUGCGUAGCCGACCUGAGAGGGUGAUCGGCCACACUGGAACUGAGACACGGUCCAGACUCCUACGGGAGGCAGCAGUAGGGAAUCUUCCGCAAUGGGCGAAAUCCUGACGGAGCAACGCCGCGUGAGUGAAGAAGGUCUUCGGAUCGUAAAACUCUGUUAUUAGGGAAGAACAAAUGUGUAAGUAACUAUGCACGUCUUGACGGUACCUAAUCAGAAAGCCACGGCUAACUACGUG